UCCAGGGUAGCCUAGUGGACAUGGAAUCUGCCAGGUAAGCGGAACACUGUGGGUUCUAUUCCCAUCCUUGGAC
Non-coding RNA from Cordylochernes scorpioides, 73 nucleotides. NCBI's taxonomy places the organism in Eukaryota, Metazoa, Arthropoda, Arachnida, Pseudoscorpiones, Chernetidae. The record is from the annotation of a GenBank genome assembly.